Molecule: ribosomal RNA, 274 nt
Filed under: uncultured bacterium
Lineage: Bacteria
Description: partial 16S ribosomal RNA
Rfam family: Bacterial small subunit ribosomal RNA
Source: RNAcentral
AUACGGAGGGUGCAAGCGUUAUUCGGAAUCACUGGGCGUAAAGGACGCGUAGGCGGGUUGGCAAGUCAGAUGUGAAAUCCUACAGUUUAACUGUAGAACUGCAUUUGAAACUGCUAACCUAGAGUAUGGGAGGGGGAGAUGGAAUUAGUGGUGUAGGGGUAAAAUCCGUAGAUAUCACUAGGAAUACCGAAAGCGAAGGCGAUCUCCUGGAACAUAACUGACGCUAAGGCGUGAAAGCGUGGGGAGCAAACAGGAUUAGAAACCCUAGUAGUCC